CCUAGGGAAGGGGAUAACCCCGGGAAACUGGGGWUAAUUCCGGAUAACGCAUWUAUGCUGGAAUGCUUUAUKCGUAAAAUGGAUUCGUCCKCCCAAGGAUGGGUCUGCGGCCUAUCAGGUAGUAGUGGGUGUAAUGUACCUACUAGCCUACAACGGGUACGGGUUGUGAGAGCAAGAGCCCGGAGAUGGAUUCUGAGACAUGAAUCCAGGCCCUACGGGGCGCAGCAGGCGCGAAAWCUUUACAAUGCGGGCAACCGUGAUAAGGGAACCUCGAGUGCCUGUAAAUGCAGGCUGUUCAGGUGCCUAAAACACACMUGAAGAAAGGGCCGGGCAAGACCGGUGCCAGCCGCCGCGGUAAUACCGGCGGCUCGAGUGGUGGCCKCUUUUAUUGGGCUUAAAGCGUUCGUAGCUGGGUUGUUAAGUCUCUUGGGAAAUCUGGCGGCUUAACCGUCAGGCGUCUAAGGGAUACUGGCAAUCUUGGAACCGGGAGAGGUGAGGGGUACUUCGGGGGUAGGAGUGAAAUCCUGUAAUCCUCGAGGGACCACMUGUGGCGAAGGCGCCUCACCAGAACGGCUUCGACAGUGAGGGACGAAAGCUGGGGGAGCAAACCGGAUUAKUUACCCGGGUAGUCCCAGCCGUAAMCUAUGCGSGUUAGGCUCUCCUGACCACGAGUUACCGAGGUGCCGAAGGAAACCGUGAAACGUGCCGCCUGGAAGUACG
This 720-nucleotide ribosomal RNA is filed under the name uncultured Methanomicrobiaceae archaeon. RNAcentral describes it as "bacterial SSU rRNA". It matches the Rfam family "Archaeal small subunit ribosomal RNA", at positions 113 to 839 of the family's 1478-position model. The record is from RNAcentral. Lineage: Archaea; Methanobacteriati; Methanobacteriota; Methanomicrobia; Methanomicrobiales; Methanomicrobiaceae.